RNAcentral lists this long non-coding RNA (203 nucleotides) under Ornithorhynchus anatinus (platypus). RNAcentral describes it as "lncRNA (ENSOANG00000041637.1)". The record is from RNAcentral. Lineage: Eukaryota; Metazoa; Chordata; Mammalia; Monotremata; Ornithorhynchidae.
CGACUCGACUCUGUUGUCCUCUCCCCAGCACUCAGAACAGCGCUCUGCACACAGUACGCUCUCAGUAAAUACCGGAGACUGACGGAGGGCCAACGAAGAGGAAACCCGGGGAAGCCGCUGCGGGGAAGCUCACUGCUCUGCACAUAAGGACGGAGAGCGGAGAGGAGGUGAAGGAAACAGCGUGGCCUAAUGGAAAGAGCCUG